Molecule: long non-coding RNA, 797 nt
Filed under: Gossypium barbadense (sea-island cotton)
Lineage: Eukaryota; Viridiplantae; Streptophyta; Magnoliopsida; Malvales; Malvaceae
Description: long non-coding RNA (GBAR_LNC014397)
Source: RNAcentral
AAUUUUCAACCCAAUACCCCAUCACAGACCCAAACCCAAUUUUUUACCCCAAUACCCCAACCAACCCUAGCCCACAAAGAACAAAACUUUUCAGCAAAAAAAAACCUAGCAUAGCCUCCAGCGCUGCACACCCCUGGUCAGCCUUCAGCGCCACCGCCGCUCAGCUCGCCAAUCACCGGCCUCCUGACACCUGCAAAGCACCCAUAGCACGUAAGCAGAGAAAACAAAGAGGAAAAUACAAAGCAGAAAACAACAAAGACGAACAAUCCAAAAUGCAAAACGACAAGAACAAUAGAUCUAAGAGUUUGAAAUCGGCUAUAAAGGCCAAAGCUGGUCAUUGUUUCGUUCUUCUUGGGUUUUCUUUGUAAAAAACGCGCAUCAGAAAUAAAUAACAGAAUGGAAGAUUUUUAGGUUAAACCUUCACUACUUCUUUUUUGUAUUUUUAUUUAUUAUUUUAUUUAUUUAUUUUACAACUUCAUUUUAACAAAAAAGGGGAUAACAUAGAAAGAAAAUAAAGGAGGAAGGGGCUUACCGAAGAUACCUCUCGACUGCGCUGUCGGUGAGUGGUUCUGUUGUUGACCCGAAUCCGAAAAGGGGGGCUAUGAGCCUCUGUCUUGGCACUCAUGGGGGUUCAAAGACUCAAAUUUUCAAGUCGCCCGAAAGCUGGGCUUUAAAAGCCCUUCGUCAUAGUUCGCCAGCCGUCGGUUUAGUGGCGGUGCGGUGGACAGAUGUGCGGCGGUGAGAAGUCCAACCGUCGGAGGGCAUGUGGAGGCUUUGAGAGGGUUGCUGCAGAUUUU